GGUUAAGCGACUAAGCGUACACGGUGGAUGCCCUGGCAGUCAGAGGCGAUGAAGGACGUGCUAAUCUGCGAUAAGCGCCGGUAAGGUGAUAUGAACCGUUAUAACCGGCGAUUUCCGAAUGGGGAAACCCAGUGUGACUCGUCACACUAUCAUUAACUGAAUCCAUAGGUUAAUGAGGCGAACCGGGGGAACUGAAACAUCUAAGUACCCCGAGGAAAAGAAAUCAACCGAGAUUCCCCCAGUAGCGGCGAGCGAACGGGGAGGAGCCCAGAGCCUGAAUCAGCAUGUGUGUUAGUGGAAGCGUCUGGAAAGGCGCGCGAUACAGGGUGACAGCCCCGUACACAAAAGCGCAUGUGCUGUGAGCUCGAUGAGUAGGGCGGGACACGUGGUAUCCUGUCUGAAUAUGGGGGGACCAUCCUCCAAGGCUAAAUACUCCUGACUGACCGAUAGUGAACCAGUACCGUGAGGGAAAGGCGAAAAGAACCCCGGCGAGGGGAGUGAAAAAGAACCUGAAACCGUGUACGUACAAGCAGUGGGAGCACAGGUUUACCUGUGUGACUGCGUACCUUUUGUAUAAUGGGUCAGCGACUUAUAUUCUGUAGCAAGGUUAACCGAAUAGGGGAGCCGGAGGGAAACCGAGUCUUAAUUGGGCGUUAAGUUGCAGGGUAUAGACCCGAAACCCGGUGAUCUAGCCAUGGGCAGGUUGAAGGUUGGGUAACACUAACUGGAGGACCGAACCGACUAAUGUUGAAAAAUUAGCGGAUGACCUGUGGCUGGGGGUGAAAGGCCAAUCAAACCGGGAGAUAGCUGGUUCUCCCCGAAAGCUAUUUAGGUAGCGCCUCGUGAAUUCAUCUCCGGGGGUAGAGCACUGUUUCGGCUAGGGGGCCAUCCCGGCUUACCAACCCGAUGCAAACUGCGAAUACCGGAGAAUGUUAUCACGGGAGACACACGGCGGGUGCUAACGUCCGUCGUGAAGAGGGAAACAACCCAGACCGCCAGCUAAGGUCCCAAAGUCAUGGUUAAGUGGGAAACGAUGUGGGAAGGCCCAGACAGCCAGGAUGUUGGCUUAGAAGCAGCCAUCAUUUAAAGAAAGCGUAAUAGCUCACUGGUCGAGUCGGCCUGCGCGGAAGAUGUAACGGGGCUAAACCAUGCACCGAAGCUGCGGCAGCG
Molecule: ribosomal RNA, 1170 nt
Filed under: Salmonella enterica subsp. enterica serovar Infantis str. 119944
Lineage: Bacteria; Pseudomonadati; Pseudomonadota; Gammaproteobacteria; Enterobacterales; Enterobacteriaceae
Description: bacterial LSU rRNA
Rfam family: Bacterial large subunit ribosomal RNA
Source: RNAcentral